RNAcentral lists this ribosomal RNA (444 nucleotides) under uncultured bacterium. RNAcentral describes it as "bacterial SSU rRNA". It matches the Rfam family "Bacterial small subunit ribosomal RNA", at positions 331 to 792 of the family's 1533-position model. The record is from RNAcentral.
CCAGACUCCUACGGGAGGCAGCAGUGGGGGAUAUUGCACAAUGGGGGAAACCCUGAUGCAGCGACGCCGCGUGGGUGAAGAAGCGCCUCGGCGCGUAAAGCCCUGUCAGCAGGGAAGAAAAUGACGGUACCUGAAGAAGAAGCCCCGGCUAACUACGUGCCAGCAGCCGCGGUAAUACGUAGGGGGCAAGCGUUAUCCGGAUUUACUGGGUGUAAAGGGAGCGUAGACGGUUAUGUAAGUCUGGAGUGAAAGCCCGGGGCCCAACCCCGGGACUGCUUUGGAAACUGUGUAACUGGAGUACAGGAGGGGCAGGCGGAAUUCCUGGUGUAGCGGUGAAAUGCGUAGAUAUUAGGAGGAACACCAGUGGCGAAGGCGGCCUGCUGGGCUUUUACUGACGCUGAGGCUCGAAAGUGUGGGGAGCAAACAGGAUUAGAUACCCCUGUA